RNAcentral lists this ribosomal RNA (441 nucleotides) under Ceraclea resurgens. Its description in RNAcentral is "SSU rRNA". It matches the Rfam family "Eukaryotic small subunit ribosomal RNA", at positions 636 to 1040 of the family's 1831-position model. The record is from RNAcentral. Lineage: Eukaryota; Metazoa; Arthropoda; Insecta; Trichoptera; Leptoceridae.
UUNAAAUUGUGUCCUGCGGUGUCGGUCUGCCGAUUGCGGUAUGACAGGCACGUCUGCGGGACUUCUCGCCGGUGCGUCCACCGCCGAAGCGUCUCGGUCGUCCGUCGCGGUCGCGCCGUUCGCGCUCUCGGCGGAACGUUGCGGCUGUUUACUUUGAACAAAUUAGAGUGCUCAAAGCGGGCUAACACUCGCCUGAAUAUUGUACGCAUGGAAUAAUAGAAUAGGACCUCGGUUCGGUUUUGUUGGCUUUCUGAUACCAGAGGUAAUGAUUAAUAGGGACAACUGGGGGCAUUCGUAUUGCGACGUUAGAGGUGAAAUUCUUGGAUCGUCGCAAGACGGACUAAAGCGAAAGCAUUUGCCAAAGGUGUUUUCAUUAAUCAAGAACGAAAGUUAGAGGUUCGAAGGCGAUUAGAUACCGCUGUAGUUCUAACCAUAAAUGAU